RNAcentral lists this ribosomal RNA (497 nucleotides) under uncultured bacterium. RNAcentral describes it as "partial 16S ribosomal RNA". It matches the Rfam family "Bacterial small subunit ribosomal RNA", at positions 28 to 507 of the family's 1533-position model. The record is from RNAcentral.
GAUGAACGCUGGCGGCGUGCCUAAUACAUGCAAGUCGAGCGAACAGACGAGGAGCUUGCUCCUCUGACGUUAGCGGCGGACGGGUGAGUAACACGUGGAUAACCUACCUAUAAGACUGGGAUAACUUCGGGAAACCGGAGCUAAUACCGGAUAAUAUAUUGAACCGCAUGGUUCAAUAGUGAAAGACGGUUUUGCUGUCACUUAUAGAUGGAUCCGCGCCGCAUUAGCUAGUUGGUAAGGUAACGGCUUACCAAGGAGACGAUGCGUAGCCGACCUGAGAGGGUGAUCGGCCACCCUGGAACUGGGACACGGUCCAGGCUCCUACGGGAGGCAGCAGUAGGGAAUCUUCCGCAAUGGGCGAAAGCCUGACGGAGCAACGCCGCGUGAGUGAUGAAGGUCUUCGGAUCGUAAAACUCUGUUAUUAGGGAAGAACAAAUGUGUAGGUAACUAUGCACGUCUUGACGGUACCUAAUCAGAAAGCCACGGCUAACUACGUG